CACACCACACACACACACACACACACCUCUCAUUGGUUCAUCCACCUUCAGUGUCCAGCCCCCCCGCCGUCCCCCUUCGGCCCUCCUGCACAUUCACACUCACGCUCUGACUCCUUGGAUCUGGGGCGGUGGGGGGGGGGGGGGCAGCCGGCGGGGGGGGGGGGCGCUGUUUGGUUUGGCGGGGACGGCGGGUCUUCCCGGAAAGCGUCCUGGCCCGCACCAUCACACCGGAGACUGCGGAACAUUCCGGGCGGCCCGCGCGCAGGUCGGACCGCGCUGUGAAAUCUCACCCCCCCCACCGUCGCCACGGCUCCCAGACCCCCCCGCCCCCCACCGCAGCAUCUGCACACCCUACGGACCGGAGCUCCUGGACGGGCCUGGCCUUCCGAGCGGAGUCCUCCCCGACUGGACCCCCCACCCCUGCCGAAAGCGUCCAGCUGGACCCUGAUAGAAUCACCACGCACCCCCCCCGGCGUUUUGGAUUCCCUGUCCGCUGUCUGCUCAGGCGAUAAUCAAGCCCCCCCCCCCUUUUCCUCUCCUCCCUGCGGUAAGCCACGGUGUGCUCUGUGUGCCGAUUGGAAGCCAGCGCCAGGUGAGUCACUGUCCCUGUGCAAACCUCAUUGGCCCCCGUGUCCCAGUUCCACCGGCCUACAGCACAACAGCCCCCCCUCCAGCCCAGCCUCCCCCCACCCCCCCUCCAUGUUUUCCCGCUGGAUAUUGGCAGAGGUGUGUCUCAGUCAACACUGAGCUUGGGCAGAAGGGGCGGGGGUCUGCUCCGGACUCCUGUUGUCAGUGAGCAGCGUCCUCAAAAAGGACCUCAUCGCCAAAGCUGAGGGCAACUGUCCUUCGCGGAAUGUUUCGCACGGUUUCCGUCGAUGCGUCAGUUCGCCUUCGCCGUGGACCUCAUGAGAACGGUCGUCGGGGGCGGGGCCGAAAUGACCGUGGGACCCUUUCUCCUCGCUCAGAAGGGACGUCCCAGCGUGGGGGUGGGACGGAGGUCAGAAUGACCCCUUUCAGACCGCUUUUCGACUUCGCACCUGUCAGGGUGACUGACUAGGAGGGAGGGGGGGGACUCAGAGGAGAAGACGAGGUUAGAACACGGCUGGGUUCAGCCAAAAGUUGCUUGGGGGGGGAAGUACAACCAGGACCCCCCCCCCCCCCCACCACUCAACGGCUAGAAAACCCAGAUAUCCCCCACAGGAUGACCUAAUGUCCAGCUUUAUUAGCAUGAGGACUUGAGCUCACUUAUCUGCACUCCUCAAGAACACUCCCCUGUACAGGAGCCCCACCGCUUUUCCCCUUUAUUCAUUUAUCUAUUUAUUUGUCUGUCGGUCUGCUGAGGACGUUCGGGAUGGUGAACGUUCUGUCUUACGCUGGAUGGAAUUGGGGAAUUGGGUUCACUGAGAGGGGGGAACUGAGAGCAGGGAUGGUAACGCACCUGUUUGUUUCAGUUUCAGUGCAGCUCCAUUCCUGCCGGGACUAUUGUGGGUUUUGUUUUGCACCCUGACACUUGCACUAAAGGGAAAACCUGUUGUGGUUGUCAAUGGAGGACUUGGAUCUGUACAUGUGUAAAUAGCGUGUGGGGGAGCGCAUGCGUGAGUGUUUGGUUGUGUGUUGAGCGCAUGCGUGAGUGUUUGGUUGCAUGUUGAGCGCAUGUGUGAGUGUGUGGGUGCGUGAGCGCAUGCGUGAGUAUGUGGGUAUGUCUGCGCAUGCGUGCUCUGGGUGUGUGUGAGCGCACGUGCAUUUAAUUUGGGGGUGGGGGGGUCAUAAGAUGCACUGUGCCGCCUGUACAGUUUUAGAAUAUCCCCCUCUCUGGGUUUACUUUGUCUCUUAGCCUGCCUUAAAACCCGAGCUCCAGUGUGACAGCCUAGCCGUGUUUGGCGUGCCCUGCUAGUGCCGUGUGUGGACAGAGUAGCAGAGGCCUGUGUGUCCCCUAGUGACCCCGAACACAUGUAAACUAAACUGUACCUUUCUAGAGGCAGCCUGCGCUAGGGGGAGCCGCCAUAUUAACCUGUGUGAUUUUGUCCUAGGAUGAGGGUGUAGUACGUCUUCCCUAAACUAGUUUAACCCCUCUGUUCAGACUUUUCGGGGGUGUUGGCAGUGACAACACUGCAGUCCAAAGCAGAGCUUUUUUUUUUUUGUUUGUUUGUUCACGAUGACGUGCGACUCCGACUCUCACCUCGCUGCGGACGGUGGCUGUUAAGGGACAAACGGAGGACACACUGGACUGAGCAGCGCUGGGGUAAUGGGCCUCUGUUGCCCUGGUACAGUGUCUUAAUGAGAAUCUCAACAGAGGCCAGCUUAUUUAUUUAUAGGGUCAGGGAAUUUGAAGAUGUGAAGAUGUGUCGAUGCGGUCGUCUGAAGAAGGCGGCCUCGUAUCUGUGGGGAGAGCAGCGUGAGAGGUGUGAUGUCACUGAUCGUGAUCGGACUCCUUCCUGAAAAUCAGGGAUUCUCGCUGCUCGGAAUUUAAAGAGCGAUUCCAAGGGAUGGACACAGGGACUGAAAUCGGGUGACCUAUAGGGAAAGUGUUUGUUUUAACACCAAAUGGAAGUUUUCUCUUUUUCUUUCCAAAUGUUUUCUUUCUUAAUUUUUGGUGACUUGAAUCCUGUUCUGCUGUUUGCCCUUAAAUGUUACAUACAGCCGGUGCUUAUCAUGUUUUGUUAUUAUUUAACGAUAACGAUAAAUUUUUCUUUAUUUAUUUUUUUUACCACCUGACCACACUGCUUUCCAUGUGUCUGUGAAAAACUGUUCUUACUGUGUGUUGAUGUAUUGCAGCUGAUCCCUUAUGCAAGCUCAAAGACUGUGUUUAAAUGUCUUUUUGUUCUUUUUUUGUUUUGUUUUUUUUUUACCACUGAUGCCAGUAAAACUAUUUAUCACAA
This is a long non-coding RNA of Anguilla rostrata (American eel), 2879 nucleotides long. RefSeq lists it as uncharacterized. The transcript is spliced from 2 exons. The record is from RefSeq and is a predicted model, not a curated record. Lineage: Eukaryota; Metazoa; Chordata; Actinopteri; Anguilliformes; Anguillidae.